Molecule: transfer RNA, 94 nt
Filed under: Roseomonas fluvialis
Lineage: Bacteria; Pseudomonadati; Pseudomonadota; Alphaproteobacteria; Acetobacterales; Roseomonadaceae
Description: Roseomonas sp. S08 tRNA-Ala
Source: RNAcentral
CGGGCCGGAGGGCAGUGGCACGCGAGUCCUGGCGCUGGCGCUGCUGGCGGCGAACGGCAUCGACGCGACGGAGUUCGAACCCCUGCCGCUCGGC